GCGCCGAAGUUGGGUUGGGAGAUGAGCGAUUUGAGCUCGAGCUUGAGAUGGUGGAAGCGGGUGGGAUGCUGCGAUUCCAGCAUCUCCAGCUCCUCCUUCGCCCUCUCCACCAACCACGACUCGUACGCCAUCAUGAGGCAAGUAGAGGAGGAGACCGCAGGGAAUUGCUGUCAUAUCACACCUGGUUGGAAUUGGAGUGAACGCUUCGGGCUCUGCGGCGUGACAACCAUCCAACACCAUUGUGUUCCACUUUCUUAUACUACGAGUGAUGGACGAAAUCAAUAGAAUAUUAUGCCUUCUUUGCUGCAAAAACAUUUGCUCAAGAAGGGAAAUCUAUAGAAUAUCAUUCUUUCCUUCAGAAUAAUAUGAACUUGUAAAUGAAAGUUGAGAAGAAGGUCUCAGAAAUA
This is a long non-coding RNA of Musa acuminata AAA Group (dessert banana), 407 nucleotides long. RefSeq lists it as uncharacterized. NCBI's taxonomy places the organism in Eukaryota, Viridiplantae, Streptophyta, Magnoliopsida, Zingiberales, Musaceae. The record is from RefSeq and is a predicted model, not a curated record. The transcript has 2 exons.